Molecule: long non-coding RNA, 1005 nt
Filed under: Homo sapiens (human)
Lineage: Eukaryota; Metazoa; Chordata; Mammalia; Primates; Hominidae
Description: HSALNT0090167
Source: RNAcentral
AGCUGCUUCCAACCUGACGGCAGAUGCUGCUGGCACUUGGUCCCCUUCACCCGCGGCUAGCGAGGGUGCAUGCGCAGUUGCAUUAGACAGUUUUCGACAUACCUUCUCAGAUGGAGUCUUACUCUGUCACCCAGGCUGGAGUCCAGUGGCAUGACCUCAGCUCAUUGCAACCUCUGCCCCACCCGGGUUCAAGCGAUUCUCCUGCCUCAGCCUCCUGAGUAGCUGGGAUUACAGGAGAGACAGAACAGCUGAGGAAACAGCAGAACGGUGGAAAAUUUUUGAAAGUGUUUUGAGCCCACCCAACCUGAGGAGAGCAUUCAAAGAAAAACAGGAAGAAGGGCUUUGGACAGUCCUGAUAAUUGGCUAACGGUGGGAUACACAUAGACUUGUUAUUAACAGCCAAGAUAACUUGAGUCAUUGAGUGACUAAGACAUGUGCCUGUCCUUACAACCAGGACAAGAUGAAGAUGCGAUCCAUGUGAAGCCUCUGGCAUCCUGAGCAGUCAACCCCUCCCAUUCUGAGCUCUUUCCACUGACCUCAGAAGAAGGCUGGCUCAAAUAACACACUUGUCAAAACACCUAGGAAACCAUGAGUUUGGCACAUGAUGAGAAAAUUGGGCUCAAAGAGGACAGGAUUUUCCCAUUAUGGAACAACUAAUAGGAUUCACAGGCCUCUUGAUGUUACAUGUCACAUUCAUAUCACUGGAUGAUAUAUCAGAAGGAUAGUUCUCUGAUCCAAUAUCCAUGUUGGUGUAUGUAAAUGAUGAGCUUUCCUGCACUACAAAAGCAUUUUAUAAUUAAAGAGAAUUUUUCCUCAAUUCAGAAAGGUAACUAUAGAUAAUUAUAUAUAUCAUACCUGAAAGGGUAAAGGAACGUUUACAGAUUACUUUGUGUCUUUUGAAUUUUUAAAAAUGAAGGUUUGCAAACCAAAAAUAAAAUUCUAAGCCCCCGACCAUCUGAGUGGACCCCUCCUUUCAGCAAGGGCAUUCCAAAGCUAACCUGAAAA